AUGACUGUUGACGGAAGAUGUAGAGGUUGAAUGAUGGAGUGAAGGUGAGGUGAGAGACGUGAGAGACCUGAGAGUCUUCUCUCCUUUCUUUUUUAUUUUCUUUUCUUUUCCUUUUUCGUUUAGUCUUGGAGAGCUUAUGAGAGGAGAGUGAGAGUUGAAUAUUUUCUCCCCUUUUUCUUUUCAGUCUCUUUUUCUUUUUUAUGUGAGAGAAAGUGGGUAGUGGUGGAAAUUAGGUGGGUGGUGGCUAGCUGUCAGCAUAGAGAAAAUCCAAUAGUAUCCCUCCGCCUUUCUUAUGACCGUUGGAGCAUAUUUUUUGUCUUUUGUGAAUGGAAAUCUUUUCCAAAUCCAAAAGGUGAGCUGGCGCGUGGCACAUGCAGACUGGUAGCAACAAUGUUUUUUUUGUUUUUUUUUUAAUUUCUUUAAUAACAUCAAAUUAAUUAAUCUAUAGUUUUGAUUGAAUAAUAAACUACACGUGGAUUGCUAACAAGGACCAUUAAUUAUUAUGAAUCGAUGAUCAGGAUCGAAUCAAAGAGGCAUAAAAAUAAUUUAAUUGUCAAAAAUAUCUAUUCUAGAUGAUUUAAUUAAUUUAAAACAAUUUAAACCAAUUAAAUCAAAUGAAAUUCACAGCUUUGGAAAUACAUGCGACAAA
Molecule: long non-coding RNA, 649 nt
Filed under: Lathyrus oleraceus (garden pea)
Lineage: Eukaryota; Viridiplantae; Streptophyta; Magnoliopsida; Fabales; Fabaceae
Description: Pisum sativum (pea) long non-coding RNA (PSAT_LNC001562)
Source: RNAcentral